GGUUCCCCGCUUGGCAGCGCCGGGCGUGUUCCCUGGGCGGGCAGGGCCGCGCCGCCGGUUUUCCCGUUCUUUUUCAUCCCGUUGGAGGGUUCGCAUCCCGGGGGGCCCUGCCGGGACGGCCCCCGGCCCGGCGGGUCGUUCAGCGGCAGGAGAGAAACAGCCGGGGAUGGAUUUUACAGAGGAGGGCGGAAGGGUUUGCCUCGCUCGCGAGGCGGGGGAGAAGGGAAGCGCGAGGGAACCAUGAUGGGCACGGCUGUUUGGCAAGCACCGUUUAGCAAAACCGGCUGCUCUCCCGUUGUUGGUUUAGAUAUUUAUGGAUAGUUGUGUCUUUCGUAAUGGCUGUCAUCUGAACAGCACAAGAUAACGAUUCCUAGAUUCUGACCCUCUACUACCCCUGAAAAAGGCAGGGGCUGCUUCCAAAGGACUGCCGGCUGGCCCUCUGGUGAUCUAGUGAGGAACUGCAACCCGCCUU
Molecule: long non-coding RNA, 472 nt
Organism: Aquila chrysaetos chrysaetos
Lineage: Eukaryota; Metazoa; Chordata; Aves; Accipitriformes; Accipitridae
Exons: 3
Source: RefSeq, a predicted model, not a curated record